This 775-nucleotide ribosomal RNA is filed under the name uncultured Neocallimastigales. Its description in RNAcentral is "partial large subunit ribosomal RNA". It matches the Rfam family "Eukaryotic large subunit ribosomal RNA", at positions 18 to 643 of the family's 3401-position model. The record is from RNAcentral. Lineage: Eukaryota; Fungi; Neocallimastigomycota; Neocallimastigomycetes; Neocallimastigales.
UCAGACGAUGCGUCAUGCAUAUCAAUAAGCGGAGGAAAAGAAACUAACAAGGAUUCCCCUAGUAACGGCGAGUGAAGCGGGAAGAGCUCAAAUUUGAAAUCUUAAAGGGUUUCCCUUUACGAAUUGUAGUUUAAAGAAGUGUUUUCUGUUGAGGUUUUGGUAAAAGUUCUUUGGAAUAGGACAUCAUAGAGGGUGAGAAUCCCGUAUUUGACCUUUACUUUCAACUUUGUGAUACACUUUCAAAGAGUCGGAUUGUUUGGGAAUGCAGUCCAAAAUGGGUGGUAAAUUUCAUCUAAAGCUAAAUAUUGGCGAGAGACCGAUAGCGAACAAGUACCGUGAGGGAAAGAUGAAAAGAACUUUGAAAAGAGAGUUAAACAGUACGUGAAAUUGUCAAAAGGGAAGCGUUUGACACCAGUGUUGUUUUUCUGAAAAUCAAUUAAAGAACUGUUUAUGCUAAGCUGUUUAGACUUUAUCAGCUAUCUGUUUAGCUUUUGAGCUUUUCUUUAAUGCACUUUUCAGUUAACAAGUCAACAUCAAUUUCUUUUGCUGUAAAAAAGCUUGAGGAAGGUGGCUUGAGAUUCGUCUUAAGUGUUUAUAGCCUCUUGCCUAUGCAGUCGGAGAGAUUGAGGUCUGCAGCGUAGAUCCUUCGGGGCUAAAUGCAUUUGUGCUAAGUUAUAGCAUUUUAUAGACAACUUGUUGACUAUGAUUUGUCUUGUAGCUUACUCGCUUAUGUUAUUUUACCUACGCUUAGGAUGUUGACACACGCGCGUGCUCG